Molecule: ribosomal RNA, 452 nt
Filed under: uncultured Desulfobacterales bacterium
Lineage: Bacteria; Pseudomonadati; Thermodesulfobacteriota; Desulfobacteria; Desulfobacterales
Description: bacterial SSU rRNA
Rfam family: Bacterial small subunit ribosomal RNA
Source: RNAcentral
GGGCCCGCACAAGCGGUGGAGCAUGUGGUUUAAUUCGACGCAACGCGAAGAACCUUACCUGGAUUUGACAUCCCGGGAAUUUUGUUGAAAGACGAAAGUGCCCUUCGGGGAGCCCGGAGACAGGUGCUGCAUGGCUGUCGUCAGCUCGUGUCGUGAGAUGUUGGGUUAAGUCCCGCAACGAGCGCAACCCUUGUCUUUAGUUACCAUCAUUCAGUUGGGGACUCUAAAGAUACUGCCCCGGUCAACGGGGAGGAAGGUGGGGAUGACGUCAAGUCCUCAUGGCCUUUAUGUCCAGGGCUACACACGUGCUACAAUGGGCGGUACAAAGGGUCGCAAGCCCGCGAGGGUGAGCCAAUCCCAAAAGCCGUCCAAGUUCGGAUUGGAGUCUGCAACUCGACUCCAUGAAGCUGGAAUCGCUAGUAAUCGCGGAUCAGCAUGCCGCGGUGAAUACG